GACGAACGCUGGCGGCGUGCUUAACACAUGCAAGUCGAACGGAAAGGCCCUGCUUUUGUGGGGUGCUCGAGUGGCGAACGGGUGAGUAACACGUGAGUAACCUGCCCUUGACUUUGGGAUAACUUCAGGAAACUGGGGCUAAUAUCGGAUAGGAGCUCCUGCUGCAUGGUGGGGGUUGGAAAGUUUCGGCGGUUGGGGAUGGACUCGCGGCUUAUCAGCUUGUUGGUGGGGUAGUGGCUUACCAAGGCUUUGACGGGUAGCCGGCCUGAGAGGGUGACCGGCCACAUUGGGACUGAGAUACGGACCAGACUCCAACGGGAGGCAGCAGUGGAGAAUAUGGCGCAAUGGGCGGAAGCCUGAUGCAGCAACGCCGCGUGCGUGAUGACGGCCUUCGGGUUGUAAACCGCUUUCGCCUGUGACGAAGCGUGAGUGACGGUAAUGGGUAAAGAAGCACCGGCUAACUACGUG
RNAcentral lists this ribosomal RNA (468 nucleotides) under uncultured bacterium. Its description in RNAcentral is "partial 16S ribosomal RNA". It matches the Rfam family "Bacterial small subunit ribosomal RNA", at positions 28 to 507 of the family's 1533-position model. The record is from RNAcentral.